RNAcentral lists this ribosomal RNA (436 nucleotides) under uncultured Saccharofermentans sp. Its description in RNAcentral is "partial 16S ribosomal RNA". It matches the Rfam family "Bacterial small subunit ribosomal RNA", at positions 341 to 792 of the family's 1533-position model. The record is from RNAcentral. Lineage: Bacteria; Bacillati; Bacillota; Clostridia; Eubacteriales; Oscillospiraceae.
ACGGAAGGCAGCAGUGGGGAAUAUUGGGCAAUGGGCGCAAGCCUGACCCAGCAACGCCGCGUGAAGGAUGAAGGUCUUCGGAUUGUAAACUUCUUUGAUCAGGGACGAAAUUUUGACGGUACCUGAAGAACAAGUCACGGCUAACUACGUGCCAGCAGCCGCGGUAAUACGUAGGUGACAAGCGUUAUCCGGAUUUACUGGGUGUAAAGGGCGUGUAGGCGGUUUGGCAAGUCAGAAGUGAAAUCCCCGGGCUUAACUUGGGCGCUGCUUCUGAAACUGCUUAACUUGAGUACUGGAGAGGAUAGUGGAAUUCCUAGUGUAGCGGUAAAAUGCGCAGAUAUUAGGAGGAACACCGGUGGCGAAGGCGAUCUACUGGACAGUAACUGACGCUGAGGCGCGAAAGCGUGGGGAGCAAACAGGAUUAGAUACCCUGGUA